This 406-nucleotide ribosomal RNA is filed under the name uncultured bacterium. RNAcentral describes it as "partial 16S ribosomal RNA". It matches the Rfam family "Bacterial small subunit ribosomal RNA", at positions 30 to 526 of the family's 1533-position model. The record is from RNAcentral.
AUUGAACGCUGGCGGCAGGCCUAACACAUGCAAGUCGAACGAGUGGCGGACGGGUGAGUAAUGUCUGGGAAACUGCAUGAUGGAGGGGGAUAACUACUGGAAACGGUAGCUAAUACCGCAUACCACCAUAUGUGCCCUGAGGGGAUAGGCUUGUUGGUGGGGUAACGGCUUACCAAGGCGACGAUCCCUAGCUGUGCUGAGAGGAUGACCAGCCACACUGGAACUGAGAAACGGUCCAGACGCCUACGGGAGGCAGCAGUGGGGAAUAUUGGACAAUGGGCGCAAGCCUGAUGCAGCCAUGCCGCGUGUAUGAAGAAGGCUUUCGGGGUGUAAAGUACUGUCAGCGGGGAGGCGUUACCCGCAGAAGAAGCACCGGCUAACUCCGUGCCAGCAGCCGCGGUAAUUC